Phoenicopterus ruber ruber is the source of this 80-nucleotide non-coding RNA. NCBI's taxonomy places the organism in Eukaryota, Metazoa, Chordata, Aves, Phoenicopteriformes, Phoenicopteridae. The record is from Rfam.
UAGCCUGAAAUGAUGAGCUUGGUUCAUGUCUCUUCUCUGAGAUUUAUGCUGGAGAUACUCCGAAGGCUCUGAUCAGGCAC